GUGCCAGCCGCCGCGCUAAUUCCAGCUCCAAUAGCGUAUAUUAAAGUUGUUGUGGUUAAAAAGCUCGUAGUUGAACCUUGGGCCUGGCUGGCCGGUCCGCCUCACCGCGUGCACUGGUCCGGCCGGACCUUUCCCUCUGUGGAACCCCAUACCCUUCACUGGGCGUGGCGGGGAAACAGGGCAUUUACUUUGAAAAAAUUAGAGUGCUCCAGGCGGUUCUAUGCUCGAAUACAAUAGCAUGGAAUAAUAAAAUAGGGCGCGCGGUUCUAUGUUGUUGGUUUAGGGAGUGCGCCGUAAUGAUUAAUAGGGACAGUCGGGGGACCUGGAAUGAACUGGCAAAGAUGAAAUUCUGGGAUCAAGGAAGAUUACCUAGGGUGGGAAGCGUUUUGCGAAGAAUUUUUUCAAUAUGUGAAGACCUUACUUAGAACGAGCCCAGAAAGAUCGGACCCUUCCGAAAGAGAAGCGUAAUGGGAGUGAACUUGGUGAAGAGAUGGGGAAGCCAGGAGGGACGGCGUGACUUCGGGGAGGUAUAACGCCCGGGUCGGGGGAACAGUGUCUCGAACUCAGCAGAUAAUAGUAGGUUAGAGAAAUUAAGGGUACUGAAGUGCGCAUUUCGAAUACGUCUAAUCUGAACAUACAGAAUAUAUGAGGAAAUAUGAGAGAGGAGUAAGAUAGUGAUGUAUAGUGUAAAUUGUUUAAGGAUCGGAGUUUAGCAUGAUAUUAGAGUGCCGUAGGUGAUCAAGAUACGAGGAUACACGACAUGAAAUCGACAACUCCUAACCCGCCCUCGCGCCUAAUGAGUCAUGUCUGUAGUAGUGCACGG
Molecule: ribosomal RNA, 823 nt
Filed under: uncultured fungus
Lineage: Eukaryota; Fungi
Description: partial 18S ribosomal RNA
Rfam family: Eukaryotic small subunit ribosomal RNA (bases 1-454)
Source: RNAcentral